GAAGCUGGACGCCUUCAUCUAUGAUGCUGCAGUGCUCAACUACAUGGCCCGCAAAGACGAGGGCUGCAAGCUUGUCACCAUUGGCUCCGGCAAGGUCUUCGCCACGACAGGCUAUGGCAUCGCCCUGCACAAGGGCUCCCGCUGGAAGCGGCCCAUCGACCUGGCUCUGCUGCAGUUCCUGGGGGACGAUGAGAUCGAGAUGCUGGAGCGGCUGUGGCUCUCUGGGAUCUGCCACAAUGACAAAAUCGAGGUGAUGAGCAGCAAGCUGGACAUCGACAACAUGGCGGGCGUCUUCUACAUGCUCCUGGUGGCCAUGGGCUUGUCCCUGCUGGUCUUCGCCUGGGAGCACCUGGUGUACUGGCGGCUGCGGCACUGCCUGGGACCCACCCACCGCAUGGACUUCCUGCUGGCCUUCUCCAGGGGCAUGUACAGCUGCUGCAGCGCCGAGGCCGCCCCGCCGCCAGCCAAGCCUCCGCCGCCGCCGCAGCCCCUACCCAGCCCCGCGUACCCUGCGCCGCGGCCGGCGCCCGGGCCCGCGCCUUUCGUGCCCCGCGAGCGCGCCCCCGUGGACCGCUGGCGCCGGACCAAGGGCGCGGGGCCGCCGGGGGGCACGGGCCUGGCAGACGGCUUCCACCGCUACUACGGCCCCAUCGAGCCGCAGGGCCUGGGCCUGGGCCUGGGCCUGGGCGAGGCGCGCACGGCGCCCCGGGGCGCGGCCGGGCGCCCCCUGUCCCCGCCGGCCGCGCAGCCUCCGCAGAAGCCGCCGCCCUCCUACUUCGCCAUCGUGCGCGACAAGGAGCCCGCCGAGCCCCCCGCCGGCGCCUUCCCUGGCUUCCCGUCGCCGCCCGCGCCCCCCGCCGCCGCGGCCACCGCCGUCGGGCCGCCACUCUGCCGCCUGGCCUUCGAGGACGAGAGCCCGCCGGCGCCCGCGCGGUGGCCACGCUCAGAUCCGGAGAGCCAGCCCCUGCUGGGACCCGGCGCGGGGGGCGCUGGCGGCGCCGGGGGCGCGGGCGGAGGAGCCCCGGCCGCGCCGCCCCCAUGCCGCGCAGCGCCGCCCCCCUGCCCUUACCUCGACCUCGAGCCGUCGCCGUCGGACUCGGAGGACUCGGAGAGUCUGGGCGGCGCGUCGCUGGGAGGCCUGGAGCCCUGGUGGUUCGCCGACUUCCCCUACCCAUACGCCGAGCGCCUCGGGCCCCCUCCCGGCCGCUACUGGUCGGUAGACAAGCUUGGGGGCUGGCGCGCCGGGAGCUGGGACUACCUGCCCCCGCGCAGCGGUCCCGCUGCCUGGCACUGCCGCCACUGCGCCAGUCUGGAGCUGCUGCCGCCGCCGCGCCAUCUCAGUUGCUCGCACGACGGCUUGGACGGCGGCUGGUGGGCGCCACCGCCUCCGCCCUGGGCCGCCGGGCCCCCGCCCCGACGCCGGGCCCGCUGCGGGUGUCCACGGUCGCACCCACACCGCCCGCGGGCCUCCCACCGCACGCCCGCCGCCGCCGCACCCCACCACCACCGGCACCGGCGCGCCGCGGGGGGGCUGGGACCUCCCGCCGCCCGCGCCCACCUCGCGCUCGCUCGAGGACCUCAGCUCGUGUCCCCGUGCCGCCCAGGCGCGCAGGCUCACCGGGCCCUCCCGCCACGCUCGCAGGUGCCCGCACGCGGCACACUGGGGGCCGCCUCUGCCCACAGCGUCCCACCGCAGACACCGGGGCGGGGACCUGGGCACCCGCAGGGGCUCGGCGCACUUCUCCAGCCUGGAGUCCGAGGUAUGACGCGGCCCUGGGGGCCCCACCGCCCCCUUGGUCAGCGCAGGCCACGGCCCGAGGGGGCGCCCGCAGUGGAUAGGACCCGCGUGGAUUGGGAAGGAAAGCAGCGGAACUGGCCGGACCCCGCCUGGAGCAGCGUCCUGUGCCCCCUCGUUCUGAAGGAAUAGCGAGCCGAAGAGGAUUUGGUCCCCCAGUUAUCACCCAGCCUGAGAAUGAGGGGGUGGGGGCCUCGGAGCCCACCGGACUUUUUUUUAAACCCGACAAGGGCUUUUUAACGUCACCAGAUGGGGCGGGAGGUGGGGCGUCACGCCACUCUCGCGUCCCACCUCCAUGCCCCGGGCCGUGGCCCCCACAUCACUGUGCAGCUCCCCGGCCCCAGCCACGCCUCCGGGGAAGCCCGUUUUUAACCUUUCAUCCAUCAGGACUCAAAACUGUGAGACGCGUUUGCCAAACUGUGACCCCAGACCUUGGCCCCGCGGCACAGAAACCCCUGACCCAGACUGUGACAUCCGACUCCUAAAAUGGUCAUCCGACCCCAGACUGUGACCCCUGACCCCAAACUGUGACCCGAACCCCAGACUGUGCCCCGACCAGACUGUGACCCUUGACAUCAAACCGUGACACCCCCUCCUCCUCUUCAACCCUCGGGCUCUUUUCCUUACUCUGACUUAGGACACGUCCCCAACGGAAGCCCCACCAACCCUUGCACCGCGAUGAACCCAACCUCCCUCAAGCCAAAACUUCCCAACCUGCCUCUCACAUCUCGACCACCCCACUUGCCACCAACCACAUCCUCUCCAAAUCCAACCCUUAUUUGCGACCCUUCAGUGAUGACCCAGCAGACCUCCAAAAAGCCUCCUCUUUCCAGAUCUCCAGCCGGGUCUGGGGCUGGGUUGCGGAGGGGAGGGUCUGGGAGUCCACACUUCACCAACCUCCCUUCCCACUCUUCUAUUCCACAUUGCAGUGUUUGGAAUAAACCAUGUUUUUAUGCCUCCUCA
Sapajus apella (tufted capuchin) is the source of this 2758-nucleotide RNA transcript. It is a transcript of the gene named glutamate receptor ionotropic, NMDA 2D-like, with no coding region annotated. The transcript is spliced from 3 exons. The record is from RefSeq and is a predicted model, not a curated record. NCBI's taxonomy places the organism in Eukaryota, Metazoa, Chordata, Mammalia, Primates, Cebidae.